Molecule: ribosomal RNA, 1317 nt
Filed under: Glyptotermes sp.
Lineage: Eukaryota; Metazoa; Arthropoda; Insecta; Blattodea; Kalotermitidae
Description: 16S ribosomal RNA
Rfam family: Archaeal large subunit ribosomal RNA (bases 874-1243)
Source: RNAcentral
UACGGAUUGUCUUAUGUUUGUUUUUGUGUAUUGCUUUAGUGUGGAACAAAUUAUUGUUUAUGUUGUUGUACUGAUAUUGAUUUGAUUAUUUCUAUUAUAGUUUAAUUGUACUGUGAGGGGUUGGUAAGGAUUGUGUUUCUGUAAGUUGGUUUUGUUUAUCGUACCUUGUGUAUCAGGGUUUAUUAAUUUUUAUUAUUUAUUUUUUAUUUCCCGAUUCUAGGAGAGAUAAUAGUUUAUUUUAGUUGUUGUUUCAUUAGUAUUAAUAAUAUUUUAUUAGUGAUGAGAUGUCAUUCGUUUCUGGUGGUAUCUGGUUUCUUGGGAAAUAAAUUUAAUUUACACUUCUUAUUUAAUUUGUCUUUUUAGUCGGCAGGAUUUAAUGUGUAGUGAAGGUUCUGGGGGAUAAGCUUCAGUUCUUGUUUUUAUAAUUUUUUUCUUUUUAAAUUUUGGUGGACUUUAUGUUGGUUAUCUAUUUGAGUAUAUUGAAAUUUUACUUUUUCUUUUGUGAAUUUUCUUAUUAAUUUAAUUUUUUACUGGGAUGUUUAGUUUAUUUUCUUUUCUAUUAUGAUUUUGGUGGAAUUAGUAUAUUUUUUUCCUAUUUUGUUUAGUUAAUAUUUUAAUUUUUCAAGAGGAACUAGGCAAAUGGUUAUUAGUGCCCGCUUGUUUAACAAAAACAUCUCUUCUUGUGUAAUGUUUUGAAGUACGGCCUGCCCACUGAAUGAUUGAAGGGCCGCGGUAAUUUGACCGUGCAAAGGUAGCAUAAUCAUUAGUUCUUUAAUUGUGAACUGGUAUGAAUGGCUUGACGAGGUGCUGGCUGUCUUUUGUAAGAUUGAUAUAGGUUGAAUUUGGUAUUUGGGUAAGAACACCUAAAUUUUUUUAUGGGACGAGAAGACCCUAUAGAGUUUUAUAUGGACCAUUCUUAUUUGUUUGAUUUAUUUUGUGUUGAUUUGUUCUGUAUUUUGUUGGGGUGAUGGGAGGAUAUAAUUAACUCUUCUUUGUUAUGUAUACUUAUUUGUAUUAUUUUGAUCCUUUAUUAUUGAUUAUAAGAUUAAAUUACCUUAGGGAUAACAGCGUAAUCCUUUUUGAGAGUUCUUAUCGACAAAAGGGUUUGCGACCUCGAUGUUGGAUUAGGAUGAAUUUUUGGUGUAGAGGCUUAAAAUAGAAUUGUAUUAGGUCUGUUCGACCUUUAAAAUCUUACAUGAUCUGAGUUCAAACCGGCGUGAGCCAGGUUGGUUUCUAUCUAUAAUUUUGUAUAAUUUCUUAGUACGAGAGGACCAGAAAUUAUGAAUAAUUUUAUUUCUUUAUGAUUUUUAUUAAUUU